Molecule: long non-coding RNA, 3253 nt
Filed under: Homo sapiens (human)
Lineage: Eukaryota; Metazoa; Chordata; Mammalia; Primates; Hominidae
Description: HSALNT0065426
Source: RNAcentral
GUUAAAAGACAUUUUAUUAGAUACAACUUUUAAAAAAUUAAACUAUGCAAGAAGUAUAUUUAAACAAAACAUGUAAGUAAGUAUUCACGUGCUACAACUUAACUAAGAACAAUUAAAUACAAAGCAUUCUUUCCACUAUGAAGACUCUGGAGCCUCUAAUUGAAAGCAAAUGACCUUAGGUCUAUACUAGUUGUAAAGCAGAUUAUACUUUUGUUCAACUCUAAAUUUGUAUUGUCUUAGAGCUCCAACAACUCUCAAUAAAAAUUUAAAUAAAGAAACCUUGGGGGAGGGGUGAUAGGGAAGGGGAGAGUAAGUGCUUUUUCAAAAAGGUAAAUGAAAAAGCCUGAAGAGGGAAAAAAUUGUACAUAAGUAUGGAACAAAAAUAAGUAUACUUUUUUGACAUUCGAUGUAGAUACUGCAAAUGAAUUUACACGGGUUUAAUCAAUGUAAGAUAGAUAUUUGUCUGAAUAUUUUAAAAAGCACCUAGGUAUCAAAAAAUAAAAACAAAAAAUAUAAUGAAACUCCAAACAUCCAACAAUCUCCCUUAACAUUCUCAUUCUGCCAAGCAACCACACGUUGGUGCUUAUUACACAAUUUAAGAAGGGGAAGUUUAUUUACUCUAUAGGAAACAAAUAUGAACCUUAUCUAAGGUAAGCUUCAUUUAGAUUGAAAAAAAAGUUGAAAUAGCACUAGAGAACUUAAGGCACAUAAACAAAUUCAGGUGCAGUUAUUUUGAAACCAUUAAAACAAAUUCUUUUCUUUGGAACAAUAUAUAAAAUAAGUUAUGAAUGUUGCUGUUUUUAUCAGCACUAGGAAAAUUUAAUAUCUAAGGCAAUCACACAAAUGUAAAAUGUUCAUAUAAAACAUUAAAAAAUGUCUAAAGUGUCUCUGGAAUUAUUCAUUCACACUCCUGGCUCAAAUGGUUUCUGGUGCCUAGCAUUAGAUGUGGGCGGAUCACGUGGUCAGGAGUGAUCCGUCUCUACUAAACCCCGUCUCUACUAAAAAUACAAAAAAAUUAGCCGGGUGUGGUGGCACGCACCUGUGGUCUCAGCUACUCGGGAGGCUGAGGCAGAAUCCCUUGAACCCGGGAGGUGGAGGUUGCAGUCAGCUGAGAUCGCGCCACUGCACUCCAGCCUGGGCGACAGAGCAAGACCCCGUUCUCCCCCCUUCCCCAAAAAAAAAAAAAAACGAAAAAAAUACAGUUUGAAGUAGAUGUCGUCUUUUCCACAUAUAAAUCUCAAGACAUAAAAGGCACACACAAUUCAACUCCUCUCUUUUCAUAUAUGGGUUCUCACAGCAAUUUAAAAAAUCUAUUGCCAUAUCCAGACAACAGGAGAAAAAAAAAAUACCUGGUUUGCUUAUUGACAAAAGUGGUGUAAUUGAACCUUUGUCUUUCCUGAGUUUCAAAAAGGCUAUUUGACAGUAGAGAUACAUAAACAAUUCAUAUUCAGUAAGAUAAAAUGUAUCAGUCCACAAAACAUUUUCAUCUUUUUAAGUAUAAAAGAAUCAAUGUUCAACCACCACCAUGUGUGAAGCCCCUUUUUCCAAAUUAAACUUACUCUAGAAUCAUGAAUUGAAGAUUAUUCAGUCAUGGCACUUUACACCCCAAACGAGCAAAAGUAACAAGUUAAUACCCUCCCUGAGUAUUUACAUCAUCUUAUCACCUGGUUUAAAUGGAGUAAAUACCUAUAUUUCAAUCAUCUAGGAAAUAAAAAGGUUACUGAAGAUCCAAUACACUAGUAUUUCAUACCUGUGCAGUAAAGUCAGUGGGAAGAUUACAGUAGAAAAGGAGGAAGUUCUACUGUUGUAAAAAUUAGACCACUUUUGUAGCUGACUCACAUAGAGGAAAAACAGAAAAUGAUUAAAGUUCAUGAAAAAAAAACUAUACUUUUCUGUUCUACAAAGCAUACCUUUGAAUUCCCUUUCCAACUGAGGUAUCACAGCUGGGUUUAGCAAACUCAUCUCUUCUGACCUUGUAAAACUAAAUUGUCAUAAAGAUUCUGAUUAUACAUAAGUCAUCGUUACUAAUACUCAUCAUGUACUUUCAAAUGUAAAAAGUUCUAGAAAUGCCCAAAUAAAAAAAAAUUCCAGAAUUGAAUUUAGCAUGGUCAACUAAUUUUUACUUUAUGUGCUUUUUUGCUGAUCAUCACAGACUGCUAAAAUUCAUGGUGUUUGGUAUAUAUGUGUGUAUACAACCAUACUAUCUACAUACAUACACAUGUACAUAUAUAGAUUCUAAACCAAAGGUUCAUAUGAGCAUCACCUAUCAAAAGAAAAAUCUUUAUGUGAUGAGAGAAUGAAUACAAUCUGACACCAAUUUGGUUGAUAUACCCCUUUUGAUAUAUUAAUUCUACUCUAAAAUUCUUUUUUAUUUUAUCAAGUCUAAUGCUAUUAUUUAUCAAGAAUUAGUAAAGGAAGAUAAAUAUUAAAAAAUUAAAAUAUUAAGUUGGGUAACUUUAAAAAUAGUUAUUUAAAUUUUCUAAGAUUCAACCUAAGUUCUUGGUGGCCUUCAAUAUAAAUUUUAAGUACUUAAUUUAUGUAGUUUUAAAUUAUGUAGAGAAAAAAUUAAUAUUGGUGUGAGGUCUGUGUUUAAAAAAAUUCUGUUUUUCAGGAUUUCAUUUCAAAUUUACUAUAAUAAACACAUGGAUAUUAAAAUAAAUGUAUAACAAAAUAAAAGUAAAUAGUUAAUACUUUUUACAACAGAAAAAUACUAGAAUAUAAAGUUGUCUUGAGAAAGUCUUUUUUUAUGUGAAGUCCUAUAUUCAUGAAAUGGACAUGAUCUUACAAAUACACAUGAAAAUAACAACUAUCAUUUGUAGAAUCCUCAGCAUUUACAAAAUACUUUUUCACACAUUAUCUCAUUUACUGUAAAGAAUUUCUUAACUAAAUAAUUCUAUUAUCUAUAAGAGUAUAAUGCAGAUGUUUACUCUAAAAUUAAAGUACAAGUAUCCAAACUGUACCUACAUUCUUUCAACUAAGAGGAUAGAAAAUUGUUUUCUGAAUUGUUGUUAUCACAAAAUGGUAUCUAUCAUUUUAAAAUUAUGAUUUGAAAAAUAAAAAUUCCCUAAAAAUUUUUAAGUUUUUUAGAGUUUUCCUCAGAAUGUAGAUUCUAGCUAAGCAUUAAAGUUUAAAAAAUGUCUAUCUGAAAUCUCUGAAUCAUUCUAAAAUGAGAAAACAAUGUAGCUUACCAAUGUUAGGCUUUUUAUUUCAACCUUGGUUUUAACAGAAAUCUGGUGACACUUUAAUUACAUAU